UACAGAGGUCUCAACCGUUGUUCGGAUUCAUUGGGCGUAAAGGGUGCGUAGGCGGUCGUGCAAGUCGGAUGUGAAAUCUCAGGGCUCAACCCUAAAACUGCAUUCGAUACUGCGCGGCUAGAGUGCUGGAGGGGAGACUGGAAUUUACGGUGUAGCGGUGAAAUGCGUAGAUAUCGUAAGGAAGACCAGUGGCGAAGGCGGGUCUCUGGACAGUUCCUGACGCUGAGGCACGAAGGCCAGGGGAGCAAACGGG
Molecule: ribosomal RNA, 253 nt
Filed under: uncultured bacterium
Lineage: Bacteria
Description: partial 16S ribosomal RNA
Rfam family: Bacterial small subunit ribosomal RNA
Source: RNAcentral